GGGUAGGUUGAUCAUCAAUAUCGCGAUUCUCGUCGGGUAGGCGUAAAAUAAGGGAGUUGAGAAAAAAAGCGGAGAGAGAGAAAGGUCUGGGAAACUGCCUGAUGGAGGGGGAUAACUACUGGAAACGGUAGCUAAUACCGCAUGACCUCGCAAGAGCAAAGUGGGGGACCUUCGGGCCUCACGCCAUCGGAUGUGCUCUUCAUGGGAUUAGCUAGUAGGUGGGGUAAUGGCUCACCUACGCGACUAUCCCUAUCUGGUCUGAGAGGAUGACCAGCCUCACUGGAACUGAGACACGGUCCCCACCCCUACGGGAGGUUA
This 318-nucleotide ribosomal RNA is filed under the name Yersinia pekkanenii. RNAcentral's name for it is "bacterial SSU rRNA". The stretch from base 74 to 314 matches the Rfam family "Bacterial small subunit ribosomal RNA", at positions 104 to 347 of the family's 1533-position model. Lineage: Bacteria; Pseudomonadati; Pseudomonadota; Gammaproteobacteria; Enterobacterales; Yersiniaceae. The record is from RNAcentral.